Long non-coding RNA from Canis lupus familiaris (dog), 3527 nucleotides. RefSeq lists it as uncharacterized. The transcript is spliced from 4 exons. The record is from RefSeq and is a predicted model, not a curated record. Lineage: Eukaryota; Metazoa; Chordata; Mammalia; Carnivora; Canidae.
CUUUCUCUCAAAUCCAAGUGAAAAGAAGACCUCGGUCCAGUGAAACUGCCCCUGUGUGGAGGCAUUGGCAAGCCUUGCCUACAGGUCUGAGGGCUUCCUGGCAGUGUCUGGAUCUCUCAGGACGGUGGUAAGCUCGCCCGUAGGUCAUGCUCUGAUUAUUAAUGGAGCCCACGCUGGAGGUAGGGUGUGAGGGUCAGGGAGACAUCUGCAGCCCAAGGGUCCUACAAGACGGUGGUGUCGUCCUAAAUUAGUACUAAUACCUCAUGUAUCAUCCCAGCACCCCUUAAGAGGUAUGUGAUGUUUGCCACGAGUGAAAGGUGAGCACUGGAGCCUCAGAGAUGAGUCCUCAAAGGUCAUGCAGUAAACUCAGGAGUCUGACCUUGAGCCCAAACCUCAAAAUUCCACGUUCCUUCCACUUUCCAUUAUGGCCUUGAUUUCAACAGACAUCAGAUCUCAAACACAGACCUUUGUGCCCUUGGGGAACUGCCUGCUAGUGGGCACGGAUGAGGGGAUGGGAGCAGGGCGAGAGCGAGGAGGUACUGCCUCCCAGGCCUCUUGGAACUAUGAUCUGACCAGUCAGGGCAGGUCCCUGGGGGCAAUGGCUGCUGUCGGAUCUCCGUGGUGGACUCUGUGGUGCUUGGAUUCAGCAUACACGAGGGAACUUCCCAUCAGGCCCACGGAGCCCUCUCCCUCUGGCUCUGGGGCUGGGAUGUUCUCCAUGGUUCCCCAGUGACCGGCGGGCCUAAGCGUCUUCCUCCCAGAGUUGUUGCCAGGACACUGGAGAGGACGGGAGGAUGCUUCCCUAUGUGCACUGCCUCUGACAGAGAAAGGGUGCCCAGAGUUGGUGGGGCAGGGUCCUGCGGAAUAUCCACGCAGUGGGGCACAUGGCCUCCUCCAGCUGUCAACUCAGAAUACUGGUAAACCCUUGAUUGGCCAUGGCUGGUCAAGGGCUGCUUCCUGCUACAGAGAGUCUACAGGUCUGCUGUGGACCCUGGCUCUGGGAAGGGAGAAGGAACCAAAGGACAGAGGCCUCGGAGAAGGCACAGGGAGAAAACACAUGAAUGGUACACAGGAUUUCACAUGAUAACCCAGACCAUAGGGAAGGAACUGGGUGGCGACACUGGGUCAGCACUUGUCGGGAGCGAGGUGGGGCCCCAUGUGGAUACAUGUUAGUCACACAGUGGGCUGCACAGUCCAGGGCCUUGUACCAACGGAGGGUACGUUGAGAAGGCAGUUAGUUGGCUGAGCCGCACAGGCCCCGGGGCACCAGAACCCGCUUAUAGCAAUGCCUCUCCUGAAUUCCUGAAUGCAGAGCCCAGACCCCAGGAGAACCACCACCUCAGGGACGUGGCUCCUACAUGUGAAGGGUUUUGUGCAAUCGAGGACGAUCUGGUCACUGGUCUGGGGAGAUUUCCAGUGCUCCAGACAACCCCGUGGCUGACGUGGUGAUAUUCCUGGUCCAGCAGGCAGAGCCAGGAGGUCCCUCCAGGCAGGUGGUUCUGCAGGUGCUAGACCUGCUGGAUCCCUUAUUUCCCCCACAGCUCAGGGACAGUCUGUCUCCUUUGGGUUCUCUGCUCUAGGGCCCCUGCCCAUUCUCUGCUCCAGGCGUCUUCCUGCUUCUUGGUGCUGUUCCCUAGAUUGAUUUCUGGUGGAGGCUCUGCACAAGUUUGUAUCUUAACCUCUUCCUUCCUGUGUCAAGGGGAGAGGUCAGGUCACCCUGAUCAGAGCAAGGAAAGCCAGAGGCAUUUGGAAAUGUCACAAAAAGGGAGAGAGAAAGAGAGAAUAAUAGACUAAAGCAUCUUAACAUUUGUAGAAUAUUUUAGUUUAUACUCAUCCUAAACUGCUGGCCCCUGGAGGCAGAAUUUCACGUUUAUUUUUAUUUGCUUUUAUAUUUUCAGGGAAUGAGAGAAAGAGACAGAGGGUGUGUGAGCAGCAGGGGAGGGGAUGGGGAGAGAGAAUCCCAAACAGGCUCCAUGCACAGCUCAAUCCCACUGAGACCUGAGUGGCCUCAGGACUGGCCCUGAGAUCAUGACAAGCUUGCCAGCACCCUAAGAAUUGAACUUUUAGAUGGUUUUGCUUGACUGCCAUGGUGAUUUUAAAAAUACUAGUCAUGCACAUGCCUUUCAGGAGGGUGGCUUGCCCCCAGGACUCCUUCCUCUCGUCUGUCUGGCCCCUGAGGACAUCGGACCAGCUUCCCCAGUUUUGUUGACAAAUAACUGACACACGAGGUUGUGUGAGCUCCAGGUGCUCAGCAAGGUGUGACGUGUUUUGCUGCAGGAAGACUGGGGCCCAGCCUUCACCUCCUGGCAUCACCAUUCCGUCGUGCUGAGAGCUUUUACCAUCUAGUCCCAGCAGCAAGUUUUGAAUAUACAGUAGGCACAGUUAACUGCCGGGGCCACACCCCACCAGGUCCUUGUACCUGAUUUGUCUCACUCCAGGGAGUCUGCAGCUCCCAACUCGUGUUUCUUCAUCUGUCCCCAGCAGCCCUGUCCUGCAGCAUCUCUGUUCCUGAACACUGAGCUUGUGGUGCCACCGUCUUUGUCUUCAUCUUCGUCUGAAACUUCACACAGCAUCACCCCCUCAAGAUGCUGUUGAUGUGACGCCUUUAGGUUCAUGCGUGUUGUUGCCAUGGCAAGAUUUCAUCUUCCAGAGGCUGAGAAACAUUCCCUCACGUGUGCAUCUGCCGCAUUGUGCGUAUUUAUCUCGUUGUCUGCAGGGACGCUUGGGCUGCUUCCAUGUCAUGGCUGCUGUAGGCACUGCUGCGGUGAACUCAGGGCUGCAUCCAUCCCUUCAAACUUGUCAUUUCUUUGCAUAGAUGCUCGGCAAUAGGAUGACUGGAUUGUACGGCAUUCCUAUUGCUAACUUACUCCAUCCUGGCCAGCCCAGCAGCUUGGAGGCUCCUGCAGGAGCACCGGCAUCUCAGGUUUUCUUAUCAAUUCCAUAAGCCCCUCUGUGCCUCUCGACUGGAUGAUUAAUCUGUUUCCACUUAAAGUCUUCGGUGACAGGAAAGGCUCAACCGCAGGAUCAGGAAACUCAGAAGAGAGCUGAAGGAGCUUGGAUGGCUCAGGGCACAGGAGGAGGAGAAGCUGCAGGAGCAAUCCACAGAAAUUAGAGGCUGAUUUAUAGUACCACAGAAAUCCAGCCCUCAGGUGACUGACAUGAGCUGUGCCAACAGUGUGAGUGAGCUUGAUGGACCUCUAGAUGGGGCCUAGCCCCACUGGACCGGGGCCGUGGCCUCAUGAGACCUGGUUGCAUCUGGGCGUGGCCCUGUGAGACCCCAGCAGAGGGCCAACAAGUUCGAGGACACUCAGAGGCGCUACCCACUGUGGUCGCGAGCACAGCCUGGAGCCAGACCAUCGGAUCCAAGUGUGUGAUAUGUCUCAUGUGUGUCUACAGAUUUGGGGCCAGCUGUCAGCCUCCACCUGCUGGAUUGUCUCAUGCAUGCAGUAGGGCCACUCAUGAUGGCACCAACCUCAUAGGUUUGAAUUAAUGUGUCAAAUAUUUAAUACAGUGACCACCUACCCUGA